RNAcentral lists this ribosomal RNA (507 nucleotides) under uncultured bacterium. RNAcentral describes it as "partial 16S ribosomal RNA". It matches the Rfam family "Bacterial small subunit ribosomal RNA", at positions 28 to 507 of the family's 1533-position model. The record is from RNAcentral.
GACGAACGCUGGCGGCGUGCUUAACACAUGCAAGUCGAACGGGCCUUGUCCCCUUUUUUUUGGGGGUGGGGUUAGUGGCGAACGGGUGAGUAACACGUGAGUAACCUGCCCCUCACUUCUGGAUAACCGCUUGAAAGGGUGGCUAAUACGGGGUGAUCUGGCCUGCUCGCAUGGGUGGGUUUGGAAAGAUUCGACCGGUUUUGGUUGUUUUGGUGGGGGAUGGGCUCGCGGCCUAUCAGCUUGUUGGUGGGGUGAUGGCCUGCCAAGGCUUUGACGGGUAGCCGGCCUGAGAGGGUGGGCGGUCACACUGGGACUGAGACACGGCCCAGACUCCUACGGGAGGCAGCAGUGGGGAAUAUUGCACAAUGGGCGCAAGCCUGAUGCAGCGACGCCGCGUGAGGGAUGGAGGCCUUCGGGUUGUGAACCUCUUUCGCCAGUGAAGAAGGUCCUGCUCUUUGUGGUGGGGUUGACGGUAGCUGGGUUAAUGAAGCGCCGGCUAACUACGUG